CUAGCAUAUCAAUAAGCGGAGGAAAAGAAACCAACAGGGAUUGCCCUAGUAACGGCGAGUGAAGCGGCAACAGCUCAAAUUUGAAAUCUGGCGCAAGCCCGAGUUGUAAUUUGUAGAGGAUGUUUCUGGCGACGUGCCUUCCGAGUUCCCUGGAACGGGACGCCAUAGAGGGUGAGAGCCCCGUACGGUUGGAUGCCUAGCCUCUGUGAAACUCCUUCGACGAGUCGAGUAGUUUGGGAAUGCUGCUCUAAAUGGGAGGUAUACGUCUUCUAAAGCUAAAUACCGGCCAGAGACCGAUAGCGCACAAGUAGAGUGAUCGAAAGAUGAAAAGCACUUUGAAAAGAGGGUUAAAAAGUACGUGAAAUUGUUGAAAGGGAAGCGUUCAUGACCAGACUUGGGCAGGUUGAUCAUCCGUGGUUCUCCGCGGUGCACUCUGCCUGCCCAGGCCAGCAUCAGUUCGCCCCGGGGGAUAAAGGUUUUGGGAAUGUGGCUCCCUCGGGAGUGUUAUAGCCCACUGCGUAAUACCCUGGGGUGGACUGAGGUUCGCGCUCUGCAAGGAUGCUGGCGUAAUGGUCAUCAACGACCCGUCUUGAAACACGGACCAAGGAGUCGUCUUCGUAUGCGAGUGUUCGGGUGUCAAACCCCUACGCGUAAUGAAAGUGAACGUAGGAGAGAGCUUCGGCGCAUCUCCGACCGAUCCUGAUGUUCUCGGAUGGAUUUGAGUAAGAGCAUACGGGGCCGGACCCGAAAGAAGGUGAACUAUGCCUGUAUAGGGUGAAGCCAGAGGAAACUCUGGUGGAGGCUCGCAGCGGUUCUGACGUGCAAAUCGAUCGUCAAAUAUGGGCAUGGGGGCGAAAGACUAAUCGAACCUUCUAGUAGCUGGUUUCCGCCGAAUUUCCCCUUCAGGAAAAA
This 912-nucleotide ribosomal RNA is filed under the name Clonostachys pseudochroleuca. RNAcentral describes it as "partial large subunit ribosomal RNA". It matches the Rfam family "Eukaryotic large subunit ribosomal RNA", at positions 34 to 983 of the family's 3401-position model. Lineage: Eukaryota; Fungi; Ascomycota; Sordariomycetes; Hypocreales; Bionectriaceae. The record is from RNAcentral.